This is a non-coding RNA of Macaca mulatta (Rhesus monkey), 917 nucleotides long. NCBI's taxonomy places the organism in Eukaryota, Metazoa, Chordata, Mammalia, Primates, Cercopithecidae. The record is from RefSeq and is a predicted model, not a curated record.
GGCGGUGUUGAGUCGGAACCACAAUAGCCAGGCGAGGAAACUACAACUCCCAGGGCAUCCCGGAGCAGGCCAACGGGACUACGGGAAGCAGCGGGCAGCGGCCCGCGGGAGGCAUCUCGGAGGAUCUGGGUGCAAAAACCCAGGGUUAGGAGCGGUAGGCAUGCUGCGCCCCAAGGCUUUGACCCAGGUGCUAAGCCAAGCCAACACUGGAGGCGUCCAGAGCACCCUGCUGCUGAAUAACGAGGGAUCACUGCUGGCCUACUCUGGUUACGGGGACACUGACGCCCGGGUCACCGCUGCCAUAGCCAGUAACAUCUGGGCCGCCUACGACCGGAACGGGAACCAAGCAUUUAAUGAAGACAAUCUCAAAUUCAUCCUCAUGGACUGCAUGGUAUGGAGAGGGGAGCCAGACUUCCCCUGUCCCCCAAGGGGAUCCCAAGGGGGCGACCUGGACCCCAUCCUGGAUGGUUGGAGGGGCAGGGACAGGAUCUCCGGAAGAUUACUAAGAGUUGGUCUGCAGCAGCAUUUGUAAUAGGCAGGACCCUAUUCAUCAAGUGGUGGUGAGGAAGGAGCCCUGGACCUGAGAGGUCUGACUUGGGUUCUGGUCUCAGCCAUCCACUUAUCAGUUGUGGAACCUUGGGAGGGCCGUGUAGCCAUCACCCGAGUGGCCAACCUUCUGCUGUGUAUGUAUGCCAAGGAGACCGUGGGCUUUGGAAUGCUCAAGGCCAAGGCCCAGGCUUUGGUGCAGUAUCUGGAGGAGCCCCUCACCCAAGUAGCGGCAUCUUAAUGGCAUUGGUGGAAGCUGGGGUCAGAAAAGAGAAACGACCAUUUGGAGGGGUGGGGCCUCCUAGAAGAACCUUCUUAGACAAUGGGGGGAGAAUGGGACUUGGGUUUUUCCAAGAAUAAACUUUAAUUCC